RNAcentral lists this ribosomal RNA (253 nucleotides) under uncultured bacterium. RNAcentral's name for it is "partial 16S ribosomal RNA". It matches the Rfam family "Bacterial small subunit ribosomal RNA", at positions 524 to 776 of the family's 1533-position model. The record is from RNAcentral.
UACAGAGGUCCCAAGCGUUGUUCGGAUUCAUUGGGCGUAAAGGGUGCGUAGGUGGCGCUGUAAGUCGGGUGUGAAAUUUCGGAGCUUAACUCCGAAACUGCAUUCGAUACUGCGGUGCUCGAGGACUGGAGAGGAGACUGGAAUUCAUGGUGUAGCAGUGAAAUGCGUAGAUAUCAGGAGGAACACCGGUGGCGAAGGCGGCCCUCUGGACGGUGACUGACGCUGAGACGCGAAAGCGUGGGGAGCAAACAGG